GUCCUUUUGAAUUUAUAUUUAAGGUCUAACCUGCCCACUGAAAUUUUAAAUGGCCGCAGUAAUUUGACUGUGCAAAGGUAGCAUAAUCAUUAGUUUUUUAAUUAAAAGCUUGUAUGAAAGGUUGGACGAGGUAAAAUCUGUCUCUAUUUAAAUUAAUAUAGAAUUUAAUUUUUAAGUUAAAAAGCUUAAAUAUUAUUAAAAGACGAGAAGACCCUAUAGAGCUUUAUAAUUUUUAGAUUAAAAUUUAUAAGGAAUAUUUUACGUUUUAUUUUAAAAAUUAUUUUAUUGGGGUAAUAGAAAGAUUAAAAAAAUUCUUUUUAAAUAUUAACAUUAAUUUAUGAUUUAUAUGAUCCAAUUUUAUUGAUUAUAAGAUUAAGUUACCUUAGGGAUAACAGCGUAAUUUUUUUAGAGAGUUCAUAUCGAUAAAAAAGUUUGCGACCUCGAUGUUGGAUUAAAAAUUAUUUUAGGUGUAGAAGCUUGAAAUUUUGGUCUGUUCGACCAUUAAAUUUUUACAUGAUCUGAGUUCAGACCGGUGUAAGCCAGGUCGGUUUCUAUCUUUAAUAAAAUAAAAUAUUUUAGUACGAAAGGACCAAAUAUUUGAUAUAUUUAUAUUUAAUUUUUUGAAUAUUAUUAAAA
This 636-nucleotide ribosomal RNA is filed under the name Trachypachus inermis. Its description in RNAcentral is "partial large subunit ribosomal RNA". It matches the Rfam family "Bacterial large subunit ribosomal RNA", at positions 1829 to 2752 of the family's 2925-position model. The record is from RNAcentral. Lineage: Eukaryota; Metazoa; Arthropoda; Insecta; Coleoptera; Trachypachidae.